Molecule: microRNA, 22 nt
Filed under: Homo sapiens (human)
Lineage: Eukaryota; Metazoa; Chordata; Mammalia; Primates; Hominidae
Description: hsa-miR-6741-3p
Source: miRBase by way of RNAcentral
UCGGCUCUCUCCCUCACCCUAG